UGGACGUUAAACCUGUAAAUCCUGAACCAUGAAAUCAUUGCUCGAUCAUUCAAAUUUUAUUGGUCCAACGCAUCAAACGUGACUCCAACGUCACUUCCGUACGAGACGUUGCAUCCUGUAAGUGUGGAGUUUGACCGAGCGGCUGAACGACAGAUCGGUUCUAACAGUCAGUGACUUUCAGCUUUAUUUAAACCUUAAAUUUAAUCUCGUUUUGUCAGGUUUAAACUCAGGUUCAGUUAUUGAGUGAAAACACCAACAGACUCAGACAUUUAGGACAAACUAAGAGUCAGAUGAGCAGAAACAGAGAACACGGACAUGUCUGCUGUAACUGCGUCACUCUGCUCCACUUUGCUGAUGUUCGAUGGAGUCUUCAUGUUUGUCUCUGCAGGACAGACAGAUGAAGGAUGGAGACGUGUCUUUGAUUCUGAAGAAUGUGACGAUUAAUGACACUGGAACAUACGAGUGUCGAGUUGCCCAAAAAGAACCAAACCAAGAGAUAUCCAGUUUGAAGCUCAUCAGCAUCAUCUACCUUCAUGUUGAUCCUCCAGGUGAGUGAGUAGAGUUGAGUGUGUGUGUGAUCAGAGGUGAAGCUGCUUCCUGGUUGUUGAUGUUUGUUUCUAAAGAUGUUGUUGAUGAGACUUUGUAGAAAGCAGCUGGUCUGAGUGAUGUGAUCAGAGUGCAGUAGAUAAUGUCUGACAGCAGUUUGAAGAGGAAAUGGAUUCUGUUCUGUUCUUCACUCAUCACCUACCUGACAGCUGACACCUCACACCUGUUUCUCACCUGCAGGUCAGACAGGAGGAUCUGUUGGACUGAUCGUUGGUCUGUCAUUUCUUGCUGUGCUUCUUGUUGCUGCUGUUGCUGGAUUUUUGGUCUGCAGAAAACGUGAGAAAACAAAGAGUCAGGAUCCAUACCAGAUUCCUGCUGAACUGCAGCCUGUUUGAAAUGUGAGUUUCUUACAGCUGAGCUCCUGGAGUCUGAGUCUCCUGAUGAGCCAGAGUUCAUUUAUUGUUAUUGAACAUUCAGAAGAUGAUCUGAGGACAGACAUCAGUCAGCUGUCGGUGAUUUGAAGUUACUGUUUUUGUUUGUUUGUUUGCUUUGUGUGCAUCAGUAUUAGUUAUUAGUUUGUUUUAGCUUCCAGGUUAGUCGCUCAUCUCAGUGGAAGAGUUUAUGUCCUUAAACAGUGUUAUUUACACCUUUGCCUUAUUUCUAUGUGGAACAUUCAGGACUUCAUCAUUCAAACAAAGUUUGUUGUCUCUGUUAAAAUAUCAGUGAGUUUGUUUCAUCUUCAGGUUCAGCUGUUUGUAAGGUCAGACUCACAGACUGAUCCUCAUGUUUAGAUUUGCAUGAACAUGCUUUUCAGCAUCUCUUUAUUGACCACUUUUCACACACGGUUGCUGUACGCAUACAGCCGGCUGCAGCUUUUCAGCUCACAGCCCGACACAUACCAACACAACAGCAUAGAGAGCACAGAUGUAAAGGCGGCGAGGCGUGAUUGCGGGUGCCGCUCAGGUGCGUCCGCCUCCCAAUUAUUAGUAUUAAUAUUAUUAUUAUCUAUUCUCUAUAGAUUUAUACUCCAGUGUUUGGCGCCCCUGAAGUCCUCAGAGAGGUUCGAACAUCAGCACAAGAUGAUUUUGAAAAGAAUCUAGAGACCUGUAGUUUCUUGUUUUUACAUAAUGAUUUGAGAUCCUGCAGCUUCCACAGAACAACAACAUGUGCUGAUAAUCAGUGAACAUAAUGUGUGAGAGAAAGCAGCCUCUCAUUAUAAGACACUGUGAGUCUCUGCAUGCUGCCUUUAUGGAGCUACAGCUGUUUGUAUACACUGAACAAAAAGCUUUGUAGCUGUAUACUGACUCCUGACACUACAACACAGAGCAGAGUAAUUACAGCAGACAUUUCUGUGUUCUCGAUCUGACUCUUAGCUUUUUCUAAAUUUCUCACAGUCUGUCAUGCGAUUAAAAUUUAGGUUUAAAAAAAAAACACCCCUGAAAGCCACUGUGUCAGUAACACAACACAAAGUGCUCAGGGUCCAUUUAUCAGCUAGAACUGAGUGACUGAAUAAUCUGAUAUUAUUAUGAAACCAAAGAGAAAUGUGUUACAUGGAGCUGCAGGGUCACAUGUUUCCUCCUCUGAUCUAUGAAGCCUUAACUUGUUCCUCCAUGAAGGAGACUCUUCAGUUUAAACACGUCAAGAUUAUUUAUUAUUUUAUUUUUUAUACCAGUUUAUCGAUAAAGUUUAAACGUGUUACUCUUGAAUGUUUUUCUUUGCUUCCUGUAGCUGUAAACAUUUCCUGAACUCCUGUUUAAAUGUGUGCAGAUUUGAUCUUGAAUGUAACAGUGUGAACAUUAAUAUACUUAACUUGACAUUAUUACAACCUGUGAUCUGUGGAAGCUCAGUAUUGCCUCCUCUCAGAGGAGGUAAAAGACAGUGUUGAAACCUGGCUGUUCAUGAUGUUUGUGUAUGUGUUGUGUUAUUGAGCACAACACUGUACACAGUUUUUCUGUGUUAACAUCUUUGUGCCUAAUUUAUGGGACAAGCAUGUUAAAUGUUAAUGAGAAGAGCUACAAGUUGAUUUGUACUUUGAAAUGAUCAAACAUUCAUAUUUCACGAUACACUUUCUAUGCGAGCUAGCUUCUGUGCUACUAAAACCUGCUGUUAUUUUGCUGUUAAUGUAUCCUGUUCAUAUGCACAUAAUAAACAUAAUCUCUGAAUGAUAAACAAACCUUUGUCUGUCAUUUCAUACACA
Long non-coding RNA from Oreochromis aureus, 2743 nucleotides. The record is from Ensembl. NCBI's taxonomy places the organism in Eukaryota, Metazoa, Chordata, Actinopteri, Cichliformes, Cichlidae.